UACGGGGGGAGCAAGCGUUGUUCGGAUUUACUGGGCGUAAAGGGCGCGUAGGCGGCCAGCACAAGUCAGCUGUGAAAUCUCCGAGCUUAACUCGGAACGGUCAACUGAUACUGUGCGGCUAGAGUGCGGAAGGGGCAACUGGAAUUCUUGGUGUAGCGGUGAAAUGCGUAGAUAUCAAGAGGAACACCUGCGGCGAAGGCGGGUUGCUGGGCCGACACUGACGCUGAGGCGCGAAAGCUAGGGGAGCGAACGGG
This 254-nucleotide ribosomal RNA is filed under the name uncultured bacterium. RNAcentral describes it as "partial 16S ribosomal RNA". It matches the Rfam family "Bacterial small subunit ribosomal RNA", at positions 524 to 776 of the family's 1533-position model. The record is from RNAcentral.